GCUCCGGCCUGACCUCUCCACGGGGUCCACAGGAACGUCUCCGGCUGCCAGGAGUCACAAGGGGCCGAGCAGGAUGAGGAAACCACAGGCGGAGUCCGGGGGAAGCAGCGUGGCAUCCCAGCCUCAGGCCUGCCAGGACGGUGUUCGGGAACGUCUCCGGCUGCCAGGAGUCGCAAGGGGCCGAGCAGGAUGAGGAAACCACAGGCGGAGUCCGGGGGAAGCAGCGUGGCAUCCCAGCCUCAGGCCUGCCAGGACGGUGUUCGGGAUCAAGAGGACCACACUCCAGCCCAGGACAAAUGCCCCACGGUAGCACAUUGUCCGGCAGGAGAGGAGCAGACCCACGUCCAAGAAGAUGGUUGUACCUUUCCACGCCUCUUCUCUGCGAAAUGAAGCCACAGAACGACACAAUCUUGAAGAGGAAGCCGUGAAUGGGAGACUGCAACAAUCUGUGUCCCUGGAAUGCUGGCCUCUCUGGACAAGCCACGCACUUCGCACCCCUCCUGUUAUGCCCGUGGCGGUGGCACGGCGCUGUAUCCUACCUGGGCUCUGGCCUCCUCUCUGUCCUCCCUCUUGCUCUGUCUCCCCUGUUUCUGAGCGGCCUAGGUGCCUCUUGGCCUGGCUGAAUAUCUUCUACAAAGAUCACUUCCCAGUCCAUCAGGGACUCUCUUCC
This 670-nucleotide long non-coding RNA is filed under the name Homo sapiens (human). RNAcentral describes it as "long non-coding RNA NONHSAT175019.1". The record is from RNAcentral. Lineage: Eukaryota; Metazoa; Chordata; Mammalia; Primates; Hominidae.